GGCGGAGUAGCUCAGUUGGUAGAGCAGCGGAAUCAUAAUCCGUGGGUCGCUGGUUCGAGUCCGGCCUCCGCUACCA
Molecule: transfer RNA, 76 nt
Filed under: Alphaproteobacteria bacterium
Lineage: Bacteria; Pseudomonadati; Pseudomonadota; Alphaproteobacteria
Also listed under: 2 other names
Description: tRNA-Met
Rfam family: tRNA
About the family: Transfer RNA (tRNA) molecules are approximately 80 nucleotides in length. Their secondary structure includes four short double-helical elements and three loops (D, anti-codon, and T loops). Further hydrogen bonds mediate the characteristic L-shaped molecular structure. tRNAs have two regions of fundamental functional importance: the anti-codon, which is responsible for specific mRNA codon recognition, and the 3' end, to which the tRNAs corresponding amino acid is attached (by aminoacyl-tRNA synthetases). tRNAs cope with the degeneracy of the genetic code in two manners: having more than one tRNA (with a specific anti-codon) for a particular amino acid; and 'wobble' base-pairing, i.e. permitting non-standard base-pairing at the 3rd anti-codon position.
Source: RNAcentral